RNAcentral lists this ribosomal RNA (468 nucleotides) under uncultured bacterium. Its description in RNAcentral is "partial 16S ribosomal RNA". It matches the Rfam family "Bacterial small subunit ribosomal RNA", at positions 28 to 507 of the family's 1533-position model. The record is from RNAcentral.
GACGAACGCUGGCGGCGUGCUUAGCACAUGCAAGUCGAACGGAAAGGCCCUGCCUUUGUGGGGUGCUCGAGUGGCGAAAGGGUGAGUAACACGUGAGUAACCUGCCCUUGACUUUGGGAUAACUUCAGGAAACUGGGGCUAAUACCGGAUAGGAGCUCCUGCUGCAUGGUGGGGGUUGGAAAGUUUCGGCGGUUGGGGAUGGACUUGCGGCUUAUCAGCUUGUUGGUGGGGUAGUGGCUCACCAAGGCUUUGACGGGUUGCCGGCCUGAGAGGAGGACCGGCCACAUUGGGACUGAGAUGCGACACAGACUCCUACGGGAGGCAGCAGUGGGGAAUAGUGCACUAUGGGCGGAAGCCUGAUGCAGCAACGCCGCGUGCGGGAUGACGGCCUUCGGGUUGUAAACCGCUUUCGCCUGUGACGAAGCGUGAGUGACGGUAAUGGGUAAAGAAGCACCGGCUAACUACGUG